This 375-nucleotide long non-coding RNA is filed under the name Linum usitatissimum (flax). RNAcentral describes it as "long non-coding RNA (LUSI_LNC001336)". Lineage: Eukaryota; Viridiplantae; Streptophyta; Magnoliopsida; Malpighiales; Linaceae. The record is from RNAcentral.
CCAACUUCAACCAACAAUUCCAGCAAAGCUUCGCACACUUGAGAAGCAUCUGCCUCAGAAGGAUCAUCGUUCAGUGAUGAAUACACCAUCCAGGCAUGGUCUAGCUUCCUAGCUGGUCGCACCACCACAGAUCCAGGGACCUCCGCGUCCCGACGAGUCACAAGUCCAUCACUCUUCUCACCAUACCGGACUUGGAGCAGCUGAGCGCAAGCCGCCAUUGCAGCACCAAGAGGCAUCACAACUGGGAGUUUAGUUGCCUCGCCAGAGGAUAAAGGCCCAACUAUUGGCACCUCUGCAUGAGCUACCCGAGAAAGCGUAGCCAGAACUGCUGGUGAAAUGCUGGCUUCCGUGUGGAACGAUACAACUGGAAGCUCU